AGCUUUGCGCAGUGGCAGUAUCGUAGCCAAUGAGGUUUAUCCGAGGUGAGAUUAUUGCUAAUUGAAAACUAAUCCAGCAAAACAGAGAAACAAUUCCAAUCUCUGAUUUACAUGCUUCUCCUGGCAAUUAA
This 131-nucleotide small nuclear RNA is filed under the name Canis lupus dingo (dingo). RNAcentral describes it as "U4 spliceosomal RNA (ENSCAFG00020004467.1)". The stretch from base 1 to 117 matches the Rfam family "U4 spliceosomal RNA". From Rfam's summary of the family: U4 small nuclear RNA (U4 snRNA) is a component of the major U2-dependent spliceosome. The structure of U4 snRNA from yeast and human has been reported. Lineage: Eukaryota; Metazoa; Chordata; Mammalia; Carnivora; Canidae. The record is from RNAcentral.